GCAAAGCAAAGCAAAAGCAACAGAGGAGGAGGAGAAGAAGAGAAAGAGAAAGAAGAAGCAUGUGAGUGUGAGUGCAACUGCUAGUAGGUAGUCUGCUGGUUGGUUGGGCAGUUGGUGUCAUGGCUGUUAGGGCAAAGCUAAAUCAGAGCUAAUCAAAGCACAGAAGCAAGGAGAAGAUGUAGCACUCCCCCGGUAAACAAAUAUAAGAGCGUUUAGAUCGCUAUAAAAUGCUCUUAUAUUUCUUUACGAAGGGAGUAGCUGCUGGCACCUCUAUGGGUGUGUUUGGAGCAUUCUCAACCUGCACCUCUAUGGGUGUGUUUGGAGCAUUCUCAACCUGCACCUCUAUGGGUGUGUUUGGAGCAUUCUCAGCAUGGUUGUUCUUCUCUGAUACAUGUAGACACGUUGAGUACAUGUAUUUGAUGUUGUUUGGUAGUGAUAUAUAUGCUGAGACAUGUUAAAGUUAA
Long non-coding RNA from Hordeum vulgare subsp. vulgare (domesticated barley), 464 nucleotides. RefSeq lists it as uncharacterized. NCBI's taxonomy places the organism in Eukaryota, Viridiplantae, Streptophyta, Magnoliopsida, Poales, Poaceae. The transcript has 2 exons. The record is from RefSeq and is a predicted model, not a curated record.